Molecule: long non-coding RNA, 1044 nt
Filed under: Papio anubis (olive baboon)
Lineage: Eukaryota; Metazoa; Chordata; Mammalia; Primates; Cercopithecidae
Description: lncRNA (ENSPANG00000048125.1)
Source: RNAcentral
AAGCGGGAGAAAGUGACAGGCGGAGAGCUGGGGAGGACCCAGCGGGUCAAGGGAGACUGCGGGGCUCCAGAGGCAGGAGAGGAUUGGGGAACACCAGGGGUUGAGGGUGCCACCCCAGCGGGAGGGCGGCGCCCAGGAGAUGAGUGCCGCCGAGAAAAGGGGUGCGGGUACAGGCAAGAUUGGGCGGUGCCCACAGUCCCCCCCAACCCCGCCUCACGCCUAGCAGCCCCCAGACCCCGCGAAGGGGCGGAGCCACUGCGCCCGCCACAGCCCGUUCGCGCGGGCACCCGCCCCCUCAGCCUUCGGGUCCCGGGAUGGUGGUGGGAGGGGCGGGCCUCGUGGGGCUGGGUGUGUAGCCCGGCCCAAGCCCCAACCAGGAAUGCUGCGCUGCAGGCUGGAGGAUGGGCGGAUGACCCUGCAGCCAGGGACGGGGGUUGGCGGGGGCGCUGGCUGAGGGCGGAGGAAAAGCCUCAGCACCGGCCCCAACUCCCGGGCCGAAUCCCGGGCGCCCCUCUGCUGGCAGGGAUUGUUGCCCCCGCUCUAGGCUUGCCUUCCCUCCUCUUACCCCCUUCCCCCGCGUUGCCCCGGGCAACAGCGCCUACCGCCGGCGGCGCGAAACGCACCUACCUAGAACCUGACAAGCCGGAGCCCCUCGGACUCCGGAGCCAGUCACCACCCCGCGUCACGGGGGCUGCCACAGCCAAUAGGAGCCACUGUCACGAACCUCUGCAACCAAUCCCGCUGCACUCCGGUCUCCGGGCACCCUCGAGGCCUCAGCCAAUGGGCAAGAGCGGAAGGCGGGCGCAGCCGCCCGGCCCUCAGUCCCCUCCUCCACUACCUCCCAGGAGGCGGGGAGCGGCCGAUUGGCCCGGGCCCCGAAGGGGUAGGACUUGGGCCCUAGGCUGGGUGGGCGCACGCUUAGCCCGGGCUGCGGGCCCUGGGAGUGGAGGCGUGGAGCUGCAGCCGCCGCCUUCUGGGCUCGCUCACCAGCCCGGGUGGAGUCCCGAAGUGUGCGCGUUUGUGCCGCUCUCCCCGCCUCGGUAA